This 1408-nucleotide ribosomal RNA is filed under the name uncultured bacterium. RNAcentral's name for it is "bacterial SSU rRNA". It matches the Rfam family "Bacterial small subunit ribosomal RNA". The record is from RNAcentral.
AGAGUUUGAUCCUGGCUCAGGACGAACGCUGGCGGCGUGCCUAACACAUGCAAGUCGAACGAAGCAUAGUAAUAUGCUUAGUGGCGGACGGGUGAGUAACGCGGUGGCGGACGGGUGAGUAACGCGUGAACAAUCUGCCCUAUACAAAGGAAUAGCCUCGGGAAACUGGGAUUAAAACCAUAUAACACUUUUAGGCCGCAUGGUUUGGAAGUCAAAUUGAUUAAGAGGUAUAGGAUGAGUUCGCGUCUGAUUAGCUAGUUGGUGAGGUAAUGGCUCACCAAGGCGACGAUCAGUAGCCGGCCUGAGAGGGUGAACGGCCACACUGGAACUGAGACACGGUCCAGACUCCUACGGGAGGCAGCAGUGGGGAAUAUUGCACAAUGGGCGCAAGCCUGAUGCAGCAACGCCGCGUGAGUGAUGAAGGCCUUCGGGUCGUAAAACUCUGUCCUAAGGGAAGAAGAAGUGACGGUACCUUAGGAGGAAGCCCCGGCUAACUACGUGCCAGCAGCCGCGGUAAUACGUAGGGGGCGAGCGUUGUCCGGAUUUACUGGGCGUAAAGGGUGAGUAGGCGGUUGUAUGUGUCAGAUGUAAAAGGCUAUGGCUUAACCAUAGUUGGCAUUUGAAACUGUACAACUUGAGUGCAGGAGAGGUAAGUGGAAUUCCUAGUGUAGCGGUGAAAUGCGUAGAUAUUAGGAGGAACACCAGUGGCGAAGGCGACUUACUGGACUGUAACUGACGCUGAGUCACGAAAGCGUGGGUAGCAAACAGGAUUAGAUACCCUGGUAGUCCACGCUGUAAACGAUGAGUGCUAGGUGUUGGGUAGCGAUAUUCAGUGCCGAAGUUAACACAAUAAGCACUCCGCCUGGGGAGUACGGUCGCAAGGUUGAAACUCAAAGGAAUUGACGGGGGCCCGCACAAGCAGUGGAGCAUGUGGUUUAAUUCGAAGCAACGCGAAGAACCUUACCAGGUCUUGACAUCCCUCUGACCGGUCCGUAACGGGACCUUCCCUUCGGGGCAGAGAUGACAGGUGGUGCAUGGUUGUCGUCAGCUCGUGUCGUGAGAUGUUGGGUUAAGUCCCGCAACGAGCGCAACCCUUGUGUUUAGUUGCCAACACUUCGGGUGGGCACUCUAAAGAGACUGCCGGGGAUAACUCGGAGGAAGGUGGGGAUGACGUCAAAUCAUCAUGCCCCUUAUGAUCUGGGCUACACACGUGCUACAAUGGUCGGUACAACGGGCAGCGAAAGAGCGAUCUGGAGCGAAUCCUAAAAAGCCGAUCCCAGUUCGGAUUGCAGGCUGAAACUCGCCUACAUGAAGUUGGAGUUGCUAGCAAUCGCGAAUCAGAAUGUCGCGGUGAAUGCGUUCCCGGGUCUUGUACACACCGCCCGUCACACCAUGAGAGUUGGUAAUA